GGCCGCUUAGCUCAGGCAGUUGAGCUUGGUGCUCACAACGCCAAGGUCGUGGGUUCGAUUCCCGCUCGGUCC
Molecule: transfer RNA, 72 nt
Filed under: Apaloderma vittatum (bar-tailed trogon)
Lineage: Eukaryota; Metazoa; Chordata; Aves; Trogoniformes; Trogonidae
Rfam family: tRNA
About the family: Transfer RNA (tRNA) molecules are approximately 80 nucleotides in length. Their secondary structure includes four short double-helical elements and three loops (D, anti-codon, and T loops).
Source: Rfam by way of RNAcentral